GUGCUCACUCUGGCAGCACAUAGACUAAAAUUAGAAUGAUACAGAGAAGAUUAACAUGGCCCCUACACAAGGAUGAGAUGCAAAUUCAUGAAGUGUUUCAUAUUUUU
Molecule: small nuclear RNA, 107 nt
Organism: Mirounga angustirostris (Northern elephant seal)
Lineage: Eukaryota; Metazoa; Chordata; Mammalia; Carnivora; Phocidae
Source: RefSeq, a predicted model, not a curated record